Molecule: long non-coding RNA, 1253 nt
Organism: Octopus sinensis (East Asian common octopus)
Lineage: Eukaryota; Metazoa; Mollusca; Cephalopoda; Octopoda; Octopodidae
Exons: 2
Source: RefSeq, a predicted model, not a curated record
AUAGUAUUGUUAUGUUAUCGAUCAGAUGUUUCACUUACUAUAAAGUGCAAGUCCGAAUCAGACCAAGCGAUGGAUUUUUUCUUUGAUUAUUUCCCAUCAACAAUUACAUAGAUGUAUAUCCAACAUUUAUUUAAAUCUAUAUUCUUUGAACAAUGAGUUUCAUAGUGAAUUUGUAUGCAAAAAGACCGCCAAUGAUAGGACAGGCAGUACGAAGGUGGAAAUCUUUUUUUAAAUAUAAUUAAAUAUGUUCAGGUGGUUCCCUAGUAUGACGAUUUAUUUUCAAUUAAUUUAUAAUUUUAAUUUCGCCAGGAUAAGUAUGUUUUAAUAUUUUUAUUCCUGUCCUAAUGUUAACAUUUGUUGAAGAUCGCUUAUGAUAAUAUAGUUUUUUUCUCUCUCCACAUCCGAGUCUUAAAUAAACCGCGUGGCAUAAGUUUCAGACACUUCAGUUAGUCAUUGAACUAGCUGCAAGAAAAAUACUUUUUCGGCGCCAACCACGUAGGUGACAUAACUAAAAUGAUUAUCUCUUAUUAAUCAAUUAAAUCGACAAGUUUUUGUUGUUUUACUACCAUUUUUGUACGCAAUUUUAUUGGAUAGUAAUUUUUUUUCUGUCAAGUUUAGUGCAUAUCUAAACUCCAAUUGCAUAUACAUACCACUGUUGGUAUUUACACAUUGGCUUAUCAACUAACAGGCAAAUAGUGAACUGAUUCGAUGACAGAAAGCCAUGAAACAACAGAAUCAUUCUGCCAUUGUUGUUUUGGUGAGUGCCAGGCACACUGCCAAUAAAAUUGGUAGGCAGACGAAACUUUCAAAAAGCAACAGUUUAUCAUGUGUAUAAACAAUUUAAAGAAGAAGGAAAGAUUGAUAGAAAAGAACACAAGACUUGAAGUGAUUCCAAGUGCAAUCCAAAGUUUCUCACUCACCUCAAAUGCUCGAUUGAAGCUAACCCAUCCACAUCCAUGGCAACUCAUGCAAAGAAAUGCAAUGUGUCCCUUUCCACAGUGUCCAGAGCUGUGAACCUUGACAUGACUAGCUAUGUUCAAUGACACCAUCACCUCCUAACAGCCAAGGCCAAAUCAAUCAGAGUCGGGAGAUGCCCAAAGCUUCUGUUAUUCAUCAAACAUCAAAGUGCAAGAAAAUCUCUCAUAUUUGUGGAUAAGAAGAAGAUCACUGUGGAUGCUUAGGUGAAUCACAAAAAUUCUUGAGUGAUUGCAUACAACCCUUUUGACGUCCACCCACCCCCACUGUGUUUGGGA